This 254-nucleotide ribosomal RNA is filed under the name uncultured bacterium. RNAcentral describes it as "partial 16S ribosomal RNA". It matches the Rfam family "Bacterial small subunit ribosomal RNA", at positions 524 to 776 of the family's 1533-position model. The record is from RNAcentral.
UACGGGGGGAGCAAGCGUUGUUCGGAUUUACUGGGCGUAAAGGGCGCGUAGGCGGUCAGUGCAAGUCAGUUGUGAAAUCUCCGGGCUUAACUCGGAAAGGUCAACUGAUACUGCUCGACUAGAGUGCGGAAGGGGCAACUGGAAUUCUUGGUGUAGCGGUGAAAUGCGUAGAUAUCAAGAGGAACACCUGCGGCGAAGGCGGCAUCCUGGACCGGCAUUGACGCUGAGGAGCGAAAGCCAGGGGAGCAAACGGG